CAUAAACAGAUAGCUAAGGGUUAAUGUCUCUUUCACCUGAAGCACCUGACCAGAGGACCAAUCAGGAAACCGGAUUUUUUCAACUUUGGGUGGAGGGAAGUUUGUGUCUAAGUCUUUGUUCUUUUUCUGCCUGCUUUUCUCUCAGCUAUGAGGAGUGAUUUCUAUUUCCUGCUCUCUAAUCUUCUGUUUCCAAGUUGUGAGUACAGAGAUCAUGUAUUUACAUGUCUAUAGUUGCUGGAGUGCUUUAAUUUGUAUUCUUUUUGAAUAAGGCUGUUUAUUCAAUAUUCUUUUAAGCAAUUGACCCUGUAUUUGUCACCUUAAUACAGAGAGACCAUUUGUAUGUAUUUUUUUCUUUCUUUUUAUAUAAAGCUUUCUUUUUAAGA
Gopherus flavomarginatus (Mexican gopher tortoise) is the source of this 383-nucleotide long non-coding RNA. RefSeq lists it as uncharacterized. Lineage: Eukaryota; Metazoa; Chordata; Testudines; Testudinidae. The record is from RefSeq and is a predicted model, not a curated record. The transcript is spliced from 2 exons.